CAUAAACCCUGUUCUUGUCCUAACCCGCCAAGGGGCCAUGGACUUGAGCGCGCUGGCGUCGAGCAGAGAAGAGCUGUGGGAGGUACGAAGCAGGAGUUCACCGGCAGGACUUCCCGUGCAUGCAACCCGGAGUCUGCGGGACCUGGAGGGAGCCGGCCAACCUGAGCAGUCGCUAAGCUUUCAGUCCUGGACUUCAGCAGAGCCCGCUGCUAGAGCCUUCGGUGAGACGCUUCGUGCCCAGCCAUGGUUCCUGCAGCAAAUCAUCUUUGCCGAUCCUGUCAGGCUCGACGACCGUCUCAAGAACCGAUGGCGCCCCCGUGCUUGACCUAAGCAGGAGCACAGCUUGUAGCUCCAGUCAGGUCUCGUUGUCUGGUCAAUAAAAUCACUCUGAUUCCUG
RNAcentral lists this long non-coding RNA (397 nucleotides) under Rattus norvegicus (Norway rat). Its description in RNAcentral is "long non-coding RNA NONRATT005259". The record is from RNAcentral. Lineage: Eukaryota; Metazoa; Chordata; Mammalia; Rodentia; Muridae.